GAGAAUUUGCUAGAGAUAGCUUAGUGCCUUCGGGAACUCUGAGACAGGUACUGCAUGGCUGUCGUCAGCUCGUGUUGUGAAAUGUUGGGUUAAGUCCCGCAACGAGCGCAACCCUUAUCCUUUGUUGCCAGCGAGUAAUGUCGGGAACUCAAAGGAGACUGCCGGUGAUAAACCGGAGGAAGGUGGGGAUGACGUCAAGUCAUCAUGGCCCUUACGAGUAGGGCUACACACGUGCUACAAUGGCAUAUACAAAGAGAAGCGAACUCGCGAGAGCAAGCGGACCUCAUAAAGUAUGUCGUAGUCCGGAUUGGAGUCUGCAACUCGACUCCAUGAAAUCGGAAUCGCUAGUAAUCGUAGAUCAGAAUGCUACGGUGAAUACGUUCCCGGGCCUU
RNAcentral lists this ribosomal RNA (392 nucleotides) under uncultured Enterobacteriaceae bacterium. Its description in RNAcentral is "bacterial SSU rRNA". It matches the Rfam family "Bacterial small subunit ribosomal RNA", at positions 991 to 1382 of the family's 1533-position model. Lineage: Bacteria; Pseudomonadati; Pseudomonadota; Gammaproteobacteria; Enterobacterales; Enterobacteriaceae. The record is from RNAcentral.